AUGGUUAGAGAAGGCCUGCAUUUGUCUCAGGGGAAAGCACAGCCAGAGGGGAUCGGGAACGCUGCGCGGGGCUGGAAGGUUCCAGAAGGCUUGACUUUCCCCACCUACCUGGUGGUCUACCCGGCCGCAGUCCCAGCCCCGUGUGCCCCCCAACCGAGGGGCAGGACUCCCGCCCCGCGCGGCCCCAGCUCCCGCUCUCCGCGGCGAGCCCGCCGCGCCCCCUGCCGGCGCGCGCUGGGGAGGAGGGGCGGGUGCGGAGGCUGCGGCUGGGCUCCUGGGCAGGCGCCGGGCUUUCUCCCCGGGUUGUGUACGUUUCUUAAAAGAAUGGGCUUGCUGAUUUUAUCUUCAAAACAUGCCUGGAAUCCCACCACUUCGUCUCUCGAUGCCACCACCCUCGAGGCCCACAGCUGCUCUAGUCUGGAUGAUGGCGACAAUCUCGCAGCUGGCCACCCUGCUUCUCCUGUGCAGGGCAGGCCUUUCCAAGCCAGGCCGCCUCAUACCUCACCAUGGGGCUUUUGCCAUGGAGCCUCCCUCUUCCUUAUCCUGUCCCCGAGCUCCUGGCUGUUACCUGAUGCCCCUUCUCUCCUUGCUCACUCUCCGGUGCCUCCCCACUAGCCACACUGGUCCCCUUGCUGCUGCCCCAAGCCGGGUGCACAGCCUGCUCAGUCCUCUCCAGUGGCCCAGGGCUCACUCCUUCACCUCCUUCAGGUCUUGGUCAAAUUCACCUUCUCAGCGAGGUCUUCUACUGUCCUCCCCUCCCACCAGCCCAUCCCUGUAUCCCUAUCCCCAUUCCCACUACUUUUCUUCAAGCACUUGUAGCUUAUAAAAUGAUGUAGCGAUUUAUUUAUUAAUAGCACUUGACUGCUAAUAAAGCCUCUUUACGAGUCGGUGCCCAGAACCCUCUAUUAGUGGGCAUAGCAGUGGGUUGUCCUCACUUCCCAGGAAGGAGGGAGGGUGCCCGCCAUGUGCCAGGUCCUCUCUCGUUCCCCAUUUUGUUUGGUUUGGUUUUAAAAC
This 1014-nucleotide long non-coding RNA is filed under the name Papio anubis (olive baboon). Its description in RNAcentral is "lncRNA (ENSPANG00000047213.1)". Lineage: Eukaryota; Metazoa; Chordata; Mammalia; Primates; Cercopithecidae. The record is from RNAcentral.